Molecule: long non-coding RNA, 388 nt
Organism: Bufo bufo (common toad)
Lineage: Eukaryota; Metazoa; Chordata; Amphibia; Anura; Bufonidae
Exons: 3
Source: RefSeq, a predicted model, not a curated record
GGAAUCCGCCGCCCAAGAACGAAGCCAGAUGGUGCGGCGAAUGGCCACAGAGUUAGCGGCCGCACGGCCGGAGCAGCGGGCCGAUUCCAUAGAGGCAUCGCAAAGAAACCUGGAUGCCUGGUAGAUUUGAGAGGCAAGCACUGCCAGUUCCCCCUGGACCGAGUCUGGAGGUAAGGCUCGAAUAAGCUGUUUUGCCCAGAUAGCGCAGGCCUUGGCCACCCAGGAGGCGGCAAACGCAGGACGGAUGGCGGCACCCUCUGCCACAAACACAGACUUGGCCAAGGAGUCGACCCGUUUGUCAGCGGGAUCCGACAAGGAAGCAGCGUCAGCCAGGGGAAGGGUAGUAGCUUUCGCCAGGCGAGCAACCUGAGGAUCCACGAGGGGGGGC